UCCGAGUUGACCCCGGCAGUCUCCCAUGAGUCUCCGCCAUAACGCGCUGGCAACAUGGAACGAGGGUUGCGCUCGUUGCGGGACUUAACCCAACAUCUCACGACACGAGCUGACGACAACCAUGCACCACCUGUGAACCGGCCCCAAAGGGGAAACCACAUUUCUGCGGCGAUCCGGCCCAUGUCAAGCCUUGGUAAGGUGGGGAUGACGUUAGAGAGUACGUCC
This 225-nucleotide unclassified non-coding RNA is filed under the name uncultured Micrococcaceae bacterium. RNAcentral describes it as "contains 16S-23S intergenic spacer region". Lineage: Bacteria; Bacillati; Actinomycetota; Actinomycetes; Micrococcales; Micrococcaceae. The record is from RNAcentral.